GUGAAUCAUCGAAUCUUUGAACGCAAAUUGCGCUUCCUGGCAUUCCGGGGAGCAUGCCUGUUUGAGGGUCAGUAUUAAUAAAAAAUCGGCUUAGGUACAAUUUGUGACGUCUCCGGAGUUUGGCCUAUCUUAACAUUUUUGGUUAAGAGGCUUAGAAUUGACCUUUUUUGCGCUGUUUUAGACGUACAUAAAUUUUUUUUUUGAUUCGUCUAUUCUUAAUGCCAAAAUCUUAUUACAUUCGAUCACA
Molecule: unclassified non-coding RNA, 247 nt
Filed under: Glomeraceae sp.
Lineage: Eukaryota; Fungi; Glomeromycota; Glomeromycetes; Glomerales; Glomeraceae
Description: partial contains 5.8S ribosomal RNA and internal transcribed spacer 2
Rfam family: 5.8S ribosomal RNA (bases 1-71)
Source: RNAcentral